RNAcentral lists this ribosomal RNA (425 nucleotides) under uncultured bacterium. RNAcentral's name for it is "bacterial SSU rRNA". It matches the Rfam family "Bacterial small subunit ribosomal RNA", at positions 354 to 796 of the family's 1533-position model. The record is from RNAcentral.
GUGGGGAAUCUUAGACAAUGGGCGCAAGCCUGAUCUAGCCAUGCCGCGUGAGCGAUGAAGGCCUUAGGGUUGUAAAGCUCUUUCGUGGGGGAAGAUAAUGACUGUACCCCAAGAAGAAGCCCCGGCUAACUCCGUGCCAGCAGCCGCGGUAAUACGGAGGGGGCUAGCGUUGUUCGGAAUUACUGGGCGUAAAGCGCACGUAGGCGGACUGGAAAGUCAGGGGUGAAAUCCCGGGGCUCAACCCCGGAACUGCCUUUGAAACUCCCAGUCUUGAGGUCGAGAGAGGUGGGUGGAAUUCCGAGUGUAGAGGUGAAAUUCGUAGAUAUUCGGAGGAACACCAGUGGCGAAGGCGGCCCACUGGCUCGAUACUGACGCUGAGGUGCGAAAGCGUGGGGAGCAAACAGGAUUAGAUACCCGAGUAGUCC